GGCGGGACACGUGGUAUCCUGUCUGAAUAUGGGGGGACCAUCCUCCAAGGCUAAAUACUCCUGACUGACCGAUAGUGAACCAGUACCGUGAGGGAAAGGCGAAAAGAACCCCGGCGAGGGGAGUGAAAAAGAACCUGAAACCGUGUACGUACAAGCAGUGGGAGCCUCUUUAUGGGGUGACUGCGUACCUUUUGUAUAAUGGGUCAGCGACUUAUAUUCUGUAGCAAGGUUAACCGUAUAGGGGAGCCGAAGGGAAACCGAGUCUUAACUGGGCGUUAAGUUGCAGGGUAUAGACCCGAAACCCGGUGAUCUAGCCAUGGGCAGGUUGAAGGUUGGGUAACACUAACUGGAGGACCGAACCGACUAAUGUUGAAAAAUUAGCGGAUGACCUGUGGCUGGGGGUGAAAGGCCAAUCAAACCGGGAGAUAGCUGGUUCUCCCCGAAAGCUAUUUAGGUAGCGCCUCGUGAA
This 469-nucleotide ribosomal RNA is filed under the name Enterobacter hormaechei. RNAcentral's name for it is "partial 23S ribosomal RNA". It matches the Rfam family "Bacterial large subunit ribosomal RNA", at positions 416 to 888 of the family's 2925-position model. RNAcentral also lists the same sequence under 3 other names. Lineage: Bacteria; Pseudomonadati; Pseudomonadota; Gammaproteobacteria; Enterobacterales; Enterobacteriaceae. The record is from RNAcentral.